RNAcentral lists this ribosomal RNA (454 nucleotides) under uncultured bacterium. Its description in RNAcentral is "bacterial SSU rRNA". It matches the Rfam family "Bacterial small subunit ribosomal RNA", at positions 86 to 518 of the family's 1533-position model. The record is from RNAcentral.
CAAUACCGAGUGGCGAACGGGUGAGUAACACGUAGGUAACCUGCCCUUAAGCUUGGGAUACCCAGAGGAAACUUUGGCUAAUACCGGAUAACAACAGAGAAGGCAUCUUCUUUGCUUGAAACGGCCCCUUCGAAGGGUCACUUAAGGAUGGACCUGCGGCGCAUUAGCUAGUUGGUGAGAUAACAGCCCACCAAGGCGAGGAUGCGUAGCCGAACUGAGAGGUUGAUCGGCCACAUUGGAACUGAGACACGGUCCAAACUCCUACGGGAGGCAGCAGUAAGGAGUUUUCGGCAAGUGGGGGAAACCCUGACCGAGCAACGCCGCGUGAGCGAUGACGGCCCCUAUGGGUUGUAAAGCUCUGUUGUAAGCCAUGAAUGAUAGUCUUUAAGGAAAUAGAAAGCUAUUUGACGACAGCUUACCAGAAAGUCACGGCUAACUACGUGCCAGCCGCCGC